RNAcentral lists this ribosomal RNA (376 nucleotides) under uncultured Gammaproteobacteria bacterium. RNAcentral's name for it is "bacterial SSU rRNA". It matches the Rfam family "Bacterial small subunit ribosomal RNA", at positions 521 to 896 of the family's 1533-position model. Lineage: Bacteria; Pseudomonadati; Pseudomonadota; Gammaproteobacteria. The record is from RNAcentral.
UAAUACGGAGGGUGCAAGCGUUAAUCGGAAUUACUGGGCGUAAGGCGCGCGUAGGCGGAUGAUUAAGUCGGAUGUGAAAGCCCAGGGCUCAACCUUGGAACUGCAUCCGAUACUGGUGAUCUAGAGUACGGUAGAGGGGGGUAGAAUUUCUUGUGUAGCAGUGAAAUGCGUAGAUAUAAGAAGGUAUACCAGUGGCGAAGGCGGCCCCCUGGAUCGAUACUGACGCUGAGGUGCGAAAGCGUGGGGAGCAAACGGGAUUAGAUACCCCGGUAGUCCACGCCGUAAACGAUGUCUACUAGCCGUUGGGGGACUUGAUCCCUUAGUGGCGCAGCUAACGCACUAAGUAGACCGCCUGGGGAGUACGGUCGCAAGAUUA